RNAcentral lists this ribosomal RNA (414 nucleotides) under Salmonella enterica subsp. enterica serovar Kentucky. RNAcentral's name for it is "bacterial SSU rRNA". It matches the Rfam family "Bacterial small subunit ribosomal RNA", at positions 314 to 720 of the family's 1533-position model. Lineage: Bacteria; Pseudomonadati; Pseudomonadota; Gammaproteobacteria; Enterobacterales; Enterobacteriaceae. The record is from RNAcentral.
UGGAACUGAGACACGGUCCAGACUCCUACGGGAGGCAGCAGUGGGGAAUAUUGCACAAUGGGCGCAAGCCUGAUGCAGCCAUGCCGCGUGUAUGAAGAAGGCCUUCGGGUUGUAAAGUACUUUCAGCGGGGAGGAAGGUGUUGUGGUUAAUAACCGCAGCAAUUGACGUUACCCGCAGAAGAAGCACCGGCUAACUCCGUGCCAGCAGCCGCGGUAAUACGGAGGGUGCAAGCGUUAAUCGGAAUUACUGGGCGUAAAGCGCACGCAGGCGGUCUGUCAAGUCGGAUGUGAAAUCCCCGGGCUCAACCUGGGAACUGCAUUCGAAACUGGCAGGCUUGAGUCUUGUAGAGGGGGGUAGAAUUCCAGGUGUAGCGGUGAAAUGCGUAGAGAUCUGGAGGAAUACCGGUGGCGAAG